Long non-coding RNA from Lates calcarifer (barramundi perch), 499 nucleotides. RefSeq lists it as uncharacterized. The transcript has 5 exons. NCBI's taxonomy places the organism in Eukaryota, Metazoa, Chordata, Actinopteri, Centropomidae. The record is from RefSeq and is a predicted model, not a curated record.
AACCUUAAACUCAAGUCUGAUCAGUUGCUUCUGUUUGCUAGUACUAUGAAAAAAACGUCGCUAUCGGAGAGGUUUAAAUGCUAAAACAAACUCUGGAGCUGCUUCUUUGUCGAACAGGAGUGAGGCUGGACGCUGAACACACCUGUGGCGCAAAGGUUUACUCGUUCAGCUGCUGCAGCCUGACCAGAAAUACCAGCUCUCAUCUUACAAACCAAUCAGGUGUCACCACUUCAUCCACGAUUGCAGAGUCUUUGUACAAUGAAGUUCUUUGAAACCAGGACAGAGGCCUCCAGGAUUCAAAUUUUAACCAUUAAAUGAAGGGAAGAGACAGACGUGGAGACAUUUCCAGAAGUUGAUGUUAAAAUGCUCGUGGAUUACCUGGAGUCUUCUGUCCUGGUCUCAAAGAACGUCAUUGUAUGAAGACAGUCUGUGAUAGUGGACAACAUCUCAUCGAUCAUGGACAAUGUCAUGGAUGAAGUGGUGACACCUAGAGGAAAUC